GAUGAACGCUGGCGGCGUGCCUAAUACAUGCAAGUCGAGCGAACAGACGAGGAGCUUGCUCCUCUGACGUUAGCGGCGGACGGGUGAGUAACACGUGGAUAACCUACCUAUAAGACUGGGAUAACUUCGGGAAACCGGAGCUAAUACCGGAUAAUAUAUUGAACCGCAUGGUUCAAUAGUGAAAGACGGUUUUGCUGUCACUUAUAGAUGGAUCCGCGCCGCAUUAGCUAGUUGGUAAGGUAACGGCUUACCAAGGCGACGAUGCGUAGCCGACCUGAGAGGGUGAUUGGCCACACUGGAACUGAGACACGGUCCAGCCUCCUACGGGAGGCAGCAGUAGGGAAUCUUCCGCAAUGGGCGAAAGCCUGACGGAGCAACGCCGCGUGAGUGAUGAAGGUCUUCGGAUCGUAAAACUCUGUUAUUAGGGAAGAACAAAUGUGUAAGUAACUAUGCACGUCUUGACGGUACCUAAUCAGAAAGCCACGGCUAACUACGUG
RNAcentral lists this ribosomal RNA (497 nucleotides) under uncultured bacterium. RNAcentral describes it as "partial 16S ribosomal RNA". It matches the Rfam family "Bacterial small subunit ribosomal RNA", at positions 28 to 507 of the family's 1533-position model. The record is from RNAcentral.